UACGUAGGGUGCAAGCGUUAAUCGGAAUUACUGGGCGUAAAGCGUGCGCAGGCGGCUUUGCAAGACAGAUGUGAAAUCCCCGGGCUUAACCUGGGAACUGCAUUUGUGACUGCAUGGCUGGAGUGCGGCAGAGGGGGAUGGAAUUCCGCGUGUAGCAGUGAAAUGCGUAGAGAUGUGGAGGAACACCGAUGGCGAAGGCAGCCCCCUGGGCUAGCACUGACGCUCAGGCACGAAAGCGUGGGGAGCAAACAGG
This 253-nucleotide ribosomal RNA is filed under the name uncultured bacterium. Its description in RNAcentral is "partial 16S ribosomal RNA". It matches the Rfam family "Bacterial small subunit ribosomal RNA", at positions 524 to 776 of the family's 1533-position model. The record is from RNAcentral.